GCCUUCUUAGCUCAGUGGUAGAGC
RNAcentral lists this non-coding RNA (24 nucleotides) under Arabidopsis thaliana (thale cress). The record is from RNAcentral. Lineage: Eukaryota; Viridiplantae; Streptophyta; Magnoliopsida; Brassicales; Brassicaceae.